UACGGAGGGUGCAAGCGUUAAUCGGAUUUACUGGGCGUAAAGGGCGCGUAGGUUGCUUGGCAAGUCAGAUGUGAAAUCCUGGAGCUCAACUCCAGAACUGCAUUUGAAACUACCUUUCUAGAGGAUAGGAGGAGAAAAUGGAAUUCCACAAGUAGCGGUGAAAUGCGUAGAUAUGUGGAAGAACACCGGUGGCGAAGGCGAUUUUCUAGCUUAUUCCUGACGCUGAUGCGCGAAAGCUAGGGGAGCAAACAGG
This 253-nucleotide ribosomal RNA is filed under the name uncultured bacterium. RNAcentral's name for it is "partial 16S ribosomal RNA". It matches the Rfam family "Bacterial small subunit ribosomal RNA", at positions 524 to 776 of the family's 1533-position model. The record is from RNAcentral.